GUGCUCACUUUGGCAGCGCACACACUAAAACUGGAAGGAUACAGAGAUGAUUAGAAUGGCCCCUGAGCAGGAAUAGCCCUCUUCUCUAAAAGGCAGAUAGUUUC
This 104-nucleotide small nuclear RNA is filed under the name Sus scrofa (pig). The record is from RNAcentral. Lineage: Eukaryota; Metazoa; Chordata; Mammalia; Artiodactyla; Suidae.